UACAGAGGUCCCAAGCGUUGUUCGGAUUCACUGGGCGUAAAGGGUGCGUAGGUGGUCAGGUAAGUCGGAUGUGAAAUCUCCGAGCUCAACUCGGAAACUGCAUUGGAAACUACCUGGCUCGAGGGUUGGAGGGGGGACUGGAAUGCUUGGUGUAGCAGUGAAAUGCGUAGAUAUCGAGAGGAACACCAGUGGCGAAGGCGAGUCCCUGGACAGGUCCUGACGCUGAGGCACGAAAGCUAGGGGAGCAAACAGG
RNAcentral lists this ribosomal RNA (253 nucleotides) under uncultured bacterium. RNAcentral describes it as "partial 16S ribosomal RNA". It matches the Rfam family "Bacterial small subunit ribosomal RNA", at positions 524 to 776 of the family's 1533-position model. The record is from RNAcentral.